RNAcentral lists this ribosomal RNA (955 nucleotides) under Klebsiella sp. NB5. Its description in RNAcentral is "bacterial SSU rRNA". It matches the Rfam family "Bacterial small subunit ribosomal RNA", at positions 33 to 980 of the family's 1533-position model. The record is from RNAcentral. Lineage: Bacteria; Pseudomonadati; Pseudomonadota; Gammaproteobacteria; Enterobacterales; Enterobacteriaceae.
CCGCUCAAGGGGGGGAAGUCUAACACAUGCAGUCGAGCGGUAGCACAGAGAGCUUGCUCUCGGGUGACGAGCGGCGGACGGGUGAGUAAUGUCUGGGAAACUGCCUGAUGGAGGGGGAUAACUACUGGAAACGGUAGCUAAUACCGCAUAACGUCGCAAGACCAAAGUGGGGGACCUUCGGGCCUCAUGCCAUCAGAUGUGCCCAGAUGGGAUUAGCUAGUAGGUGGGGUAACGGCUCACCUAGGCGACGAUCCCUAGCUGGUCUGAGAGGAUGACCAGCCACACUGGAACUGAGACACGGUCCAGACUCCUACGGGAGGCAGCAGUGGGGAAUAUUGCACAAUGGGCGCAAGCCUGAUGCAGCCAUGCCGCGUGUGUGAAGAAGGCCUUCGGGUUGUAAAGCACUUUCAGCGGGGAGGAAGGCGUUAAGGUUAAUAACCUUGGCGAUUGACGUUACCCGCAGAAGAAGCACCGGCUAACUCCGUGCCAGCAGCCGCGGUAAUACGGAGGGUGCAAGCGUUAAUCGGAAUUACUGGGCGUAAAGCGCACGCAGGCGGUCUGUCAAGUCGGAUGUGAAAUCCCCGGGCUCAACCUGGGAACUGCAUUCGAAACUGGCAGGCUAGAGUCUUGUAGAGGGGGGUAGAAUUCCAGGUGUAGCGGUGAAAUGCGUAGAGAUCUGGAGGAAUACCGGUGGCGAAGGCGGCCCCCUGGACAAAGACUGACGCUCAGGUGCGAAAGCGUGGGGAGCAAACAGGAUUAGAUACCCUGGUAGUCCACGCCGUAAACGAUGUCGAUUUGGAGGUUGUGCCCUUGAGGCGUGUCUUCCGGAGCUAACGCGUUAAAUCGACCGCCUGGGGAGUACGGCCGCAAGGUUAAAACUCAAUGAAUUGACGGGGGCCCGCACAAGCGGUGAGCAUGGAUUUAAUUCGAUGCAACGCGAGAACCUUACCUGGUC